This is a non-coding RNA of Misgurnus anguillicaudatus (oriental weatherfish), 493 nucleotides long. Lineage: Eukaryota; Metazoa; Chordata; Actinopteri; Cypriniformes; Cobitidae. The record is from RefSeq and is a predicted model, not a curated record.
AUGUAACAAGGUAGCAAGAAAGAAGGGCGGGGGAAUGUGAAAGCGAUCUCUAAUCCCAGUACAGAUUGAUAAUAAGCCGCACUUAUUUAAAGGACAGGCGAAGGCGCAGGGCAGCUGGGGUCCUGUUAGCAUUUGCCUGUUGCUCAGCUUGUGGCCGUGUGGGAUCGGGAGUCCCCGUGUAUCUUUCUAUGUAUGAGACGAAUGUGAUAGUUUGAAGCUCAGGACCAUCGUGUAUAUGAUUUUUGCUCUGCUAAGAAUGUGGGUGUUUGAUGUUCUGGACCGUCAUGUGUCUGGUUGGUUUCGCCCUGUUAAGGUUGCUGUGGUUUGAAGUGUGCAGUGUAAUUACUCCUCCCUGUGGUAAUCUUUACUAUUCCUUGCCCGUUGAUGUAUACCCGCUGACGGUGGCUACCCUUGUGGGCUGUUUCCGGUCCGGGUGGAUGACCCAAUUUAUUUUAAUACUUUGUUAAAUAAAGUAUAAUGUAUUUUUCUACUA